CGCCGCCCGCGGUUUGAUCGGGAGCGGCUGCCUGCGCCGCGGUUCUGGUUCCGGUUCCGGUUCCGGUUGGCGUUUGCACCUGCGACUGCCGUGAGCAGUCAUGGCGUACUCCACAGUGCAGAGAGUUGUUCUGGCUUCUGGGCUUGUCCUGGCUCUGUCGCUGCUGCUGCCCAAGGCCUUCCUGUCCCGCGGGAAGCGGCAGGAGCCGCCGCCGACACCUGAAGGAAAAUUGGGCCGAUUUCCUCCUAUGAUGCAUCAUCACCAGGUACCCACAGGUGGCCAGACUCCUGGGGCUCAUUUCCAGAGGUCUCACCUUGCAGAGGCAUUUGCAAAGGCCAAAGGAUCAGGCGGAGGUGCUGGAGGAGGAGGUAGUGGAAGAGGCCUGAUGGGGCAGAUUAUUCCAAUCUACGGUUUUGGGAUUUUUUUAUAUAUACUGUACAUUCUAUUUAAGCUCUCAAAGGGGAAAACAACUGCAGAGGAUGGUGGGAAAUGCUCUACUGCCACACCUGGAAACACCCACAGGAAAAUUACCAGUUUUGAGCUUGCUCAACUGCAAGAAAAACUGAAAGAGACAGAAGCAGCCAUGGAAAAAUUAAUCAACAGAGUGGGACCUAAUGGUGAGAGCAGAGCACAGACUGUGACUUCUGACCAAGAGAAACGGUUGCUACAUCAGCUCCGAGAAAUCACCAGGGUCAUGAAAGAAGGAAAAUUCAUUGACAGAUUUUCUCCAGAGAAAGAAGCUGAGGAGGCUCCUUACAUGGAGGACUGGGAAGGUUACCCUGAAGAGACUUACCCAAUUUAUGACCUUUCAGAGUGUAUCAAGCGUAGGCAAGAAACAAUUUUGGUGGAUUACCCUGACCCAAAAGAGCUUUCUGCUGAAGAAACAGCUGAGAGAAUGGGAGUGAUAGAAGAGGAAGAAUCAGAUCAUUUGGGUUGGGAAAGUCUGCCCACUGACCCCAGAGCCCAGGAAGAUAAUUCUGUCACCUCGUGUGAUCCAAAGCCAGAAACAUGUUCCUGCUGUUUUCAUGAAGACGAGGAUCCUGCUGUCUUGGCAGAGAAUGCUGGAUUCAAUGCAGAUAGCUACCUUGAGCAAGAGGAAACCACUAAAGAAGAGUGGUCCCAGGACUUUAGAGAUGAAGGGUUGGGCAUCAACAUUGAUAAAGCAUAUACAGGCAGCAUGCUGAGGAAGCGUAACCCCCAGGGUUUAGAGUGAAAACAGCCAGUCUGAAGUAUCCAUUACUCAAGUCCCAAGGUGACCUUUCUCUCCUCAGAUUUCCUUCUUGGCCCUGUGCCCUGUACUUUCUUCACUGUGUUCAAGUGUCAUAGCUAUCAGGCCACUAUCACGGAUAUCAUGUAUCCUUCCUGGUGCUCACACACCUGUCACCUUGUAAAACAUGGACAUUAGUGUGAACACAGGACAGCUUUGCUCUUUCUCUUUCUGCCUUUCCCCUAUCAGAGAAGUUGAUCCAUUAAGUAAUUAUGUUUGGUCUAUUGUAGUUACAGAUGGAACCACUCAGGGGCAAAGGUCUGACUCUUCCUGGUAGGUGUAACAGAUAGUUCACCUGUGAACGAACAUCAGCUUACAGAUGAUGAGGACUUAAGGUUGCAAGAAUGAAGAUUUCAGACUCCAAGAUGCCUUAUUCUUUGGGCCUUGAGCAGGUUAGUAGUCCCCUGGGGAAAAGAGAACAUUUUAUUUGUGGGGCUGGGCCCAGAGCAGGGUAAGACUGCUCUCUGAGCUGAAGCCUCUUCUUUGCAGUGAGGGUCUUCCUAGGAACAUUGAUGCUGCCUCAAACGUCCUCUUUUCUCCAGAGUAGGGAAGACUCCCACUGAUCUGAGAAUGAGCCCAGAGGCUUGUUUGGGGACUGUUUUACUCUGAUACUGCCUGGAUAUCUAGCUUCCUUGACCCCUGUUCUGCUUAACAGAACUGCCAAACCCAGAAGUACCUUUGCACUCCUGGUUUUCAGUGGACAGAGGAAGCUUUAGAUAAAGACUUUAGACCCUGCCUUGCAGAGACAAGACUUGAGGCCAUUGAAGCUGUAGGAAGGCCUGCCCAGGGAUGGUCCUGCCAUGAGGAGGCUGCAGCCCUAUAAGAGGGCUCAAGAUUGUGAAUUCUGCUCCUGCCAUGAGGAGCUCAGAAGGCCAGGAAGCCAGCAACUGGGGAGAGAAUCUGUGCGCUUAUGGACAGUCCUUACCUAAAGCUGUUUCUGAAUGUUGCACCCUUUGAGAAAUUUGUUCUCAAAAGCACAUAAAUUGAAACAGAAAUGAGAACUGAUCUUGUAUACAAAGUGCCAACUCAACAGGGAAGUUGGAGUAUGUCUGUUGCAGAGAACCAAUGUAGCAGCGCCCAGGGGUAGAGACCAUAUGUUCCAUACUCAGAUAUUUGGGUUUUUUGAGAGAGCUGGGGAAAGUCGCAACUAGAUUAGGCCUGGGAGAUUUUGACCAAACUAAAGGCCUUUUCUCCUUACUGCAUCUGACACAUGUCUUGAGACAAGAUAGUACCCAUGAAUUACAUCAUGAAGUAUGUGUGAAUUCAGUUUACAUGUAAGACCUGAGAGUUUGAAGAGGGCACAUUCCCAAAGACAUUCCCAGUCAUGAAAUGUAGAAGACUGGAAAAUUAAGAAAUUAUGUAAAGGUAGAUAUGGCUUUUAGAGUUACAUUAUGCUUGGCAUGAGUAAGAUGCCGGGAAAAUAGUUUAAAAUCAUACAUCAGCAUACAGACUGCUGUUAGAAGGUAUGGGAUCAUAGUAAGAUAAUCUGUCAGCUACUAGGCAUUUAUUGUUAAUUGAGCUACAGAGAAAAGUCAUUCAAGACUGAAUUUAUGAAAGUAUAUUGCAUCUAUCUCUGUGUAGAACAUUUGCUUCACAUUGUAAAGAAUGCAGUUUAAAAUGUAUUGAAUGCAAUCUAGAUGUACACUAAAGGUGAAAAAUAACAGGUGCUCUUUACUGUUUCGAUAAAUUGUUCUCUGUUAUUUCCCUUCGUUUACUAUGAGGGGUUGAUUUAUGAGGAGAGCUCUGGGUUCCUCGCUCAGAUUUCCUUUUUGCCCUAGGAUAUGAUUCCCUUAUUAGAGAUAAAUACUUCUGUUUUCUUGUAGCUAAUUCAUUCAUUUAGCAGUCAGUUGCUCAGUGCUAGGUACUAGGAACAGAGGCUCAAUUUCUGCUCUCAAAAAACUCAAUAUAAUGAGAGAGAGGCUGACAGAUAAAAUGAACUAUGACUCUAUAAGAGGGCUCAAGAUUGUGAAUUCUGCAGGCAGAGAAACAUGAGCCAUGGUCUGUCCCUGCAUUUUCUAGCUGUGGAAUCUUGGAUCGGCUCCUUAACUGGUCUGAGCUUUGGCUUCAGGGUAGUAAAGGGAAGAGUAUUAAAAGUUCUGGUUAAAUGAAAUCAGUGUGUGUGUGUGUGUGUGUGUGUAAAACAGCAUUGGUUCUAGCUCAUACAUGAUAACCACUCAUUAAGUGGUAAUUAUGUUUUUAUUAUAAGGGCUAUGCUGUAAUUCAGACAUGGGCCCAAAACUACAGGAAAGAGAAAUUGUUUUUGCUAAAGUAUUUCCAAGACACUUCAGUUUCCUGGGAGGUGGGCCUUGAGGCAUGCUAAGAACUUCUUCAGGUGGGCAAAGAAGAGAGGACAUUCUUGGCAGAAAGAGAUGUUGAAAAAAGCAGUAGGUGUGAAAAUACAUGGAUGUUCAAGUAUUUUGAUGAGGCUGUUAUGUAAAGUGUUGUUAGUCUUUGGGGAAAAUUGGCUUAUGGAAAUUCCUGCCAGAAGUACUAAGCCCUUAUGGUAGUUCUUCCUGCCCUAGCUCUUGGUUGGUUUAUAUAUAAGGAAUAUAUUUGUGUAUGUAUAUAUCAGACAUUUGGAUGUACCUUUCAGUUAUUUAGAAUUCAGACAAUUCUUUUUGGAUUUUCCAGAAUUAUUUUAUCCUUCAGGGAUGAUAGUUAUGUGUGUAUACAACCCAGGAUGACAAAAUCAUGGGACUGGUUUUUGUUGCCAGGGCUGCUGUUUCUUUUCUUGCGGUCUUCAUUUCUCACAACAAGGGGGCUGGGAACUUGAUCAGUCCCCUGGCCUUUGGGCAGUGUGGCAGAGUAAACAAGUCAUACCUCUAUGGACAGUUAGCCCACAAAACAACUGCAUAAUCUGGGAUCAUUCUUGAUAAAUCAGGUGGGUAGUGCAGCCAGGAGAUCCUCUUUCCUGGUCACAACGGGAGCACAAAGAAACCAUUUCAUUAUCUCCAUGACUAGCUCCAGAAGCUGAGCCCAGGGAGGUGUGCUGAGGAGUGGAGGUGUAUUUGGCCUGUAGAAGCAGUGGCCUUUGAGAACCAUACUCUGCACCUUAUAUGGCUUGGGUGAUCAAAUAACUUAUGGUCCAAAUGCAAACACCUUGGAAAAAGGGAGCUUUAAUGUAAUUAUGCCAAGGUGAUAGGCAUAAACUAAGACUAUCCUGGACAUAGGGCCACCUCUGUCUAUAGCCAUCUAAGAUUUUUCAACCUGCUGACUAAACAAACAAAACCCUCUUUCCUUUUUAGAAUAUCCUGUAUAUGCUAUUUCCCACCAGGGGCAGAGGCAGAGGCCACAGGAGAUAGGCCAUGGUUCAGCGGCGCCACCCUGGCCCCCUGCUGUGGCUGCUGCCUUGGUUCUCUUGGCUGAAGCUGGUGCUGUUGGGCGUGUGGCUCCCAGCUGCACACUGGCGAGUGAGUCGGCCUCUUGAACUGCUCAGGAAACAUCCCCAGAUGGAGAAAGAGAAACAGGCACUGGGUGAGACCGGAGCUCCCACCUGAACACAGUCCCCAGCACAGCAUUUUCAACCAUACCCUGAGUCCCACCAGGGCCCCUGUACCACUUCCACAGCCCACAGAAUCAGGCCCACUCACCUCUACUAGGCAAAGAUUCCAGGGCAGGCCCAGCUGGAAGGAGGCAGCACCCCCAGCCCAGUGUGAUCAAGUCAACAGCCAGACCAACACCUGUGAUCAGCCAACAAACUAAGCACUCAAAGUUCUGGGCCACCAAACCGUACUGAGCCUGAACAGAGGCAGGGAGAAUGUCCAAGAAGAUAUGGCCUCUGAAGAUGGUGAAGGAGGAACAAAGGCUGCAUCUUCUGGAAGAGACCACAACCAGGGCAAGCACUCCAGGGAGCCUAUGAGGGGGCUCUGCAGGGAUGAGCCCAUGGGAGGCUGGGGUAUAGGAGUGCUCAGAACAACUCUGGGAUACAAGAAGCUACAAGCACCAACAGUGAGGUCUCAGAAGGGUUCCGGCUGGUGGCCUCCAAAUUCUCCCAAUCUGCUCAAAAUCCUUGAAUGGUUUCUGAUUGCUCUUAAGAUGAAGACCGACAUUCUCUCCCUUCCCCUAGGUCUAAACACAUACUCCCCACCUCUGGAGCACCAAGAGUUGCAGCCACACCAGGCUGGUCUGGUGCCUCACAUGCACGGCACUCCCUUUUGCCACAGGGCCCUUGCUCCUGCUGCCUGCACUGCCUUCCCCCUCACCCCCCUCAGUGAUCAGCUCCCAUUCAUCCUGCAGAUUUCAGCUUGGAUGUCACCUCCGGAGGGAAGCUGUGCCUGCCUCCCUAGUCAGCGCAGGUGUUGUCAUCUAUUCACAGAAUUUGGCUUCCUUCCACAAAGCACACCCAUGACGGUCUGUUUAACAUUGUCUCUCCACCUAGACUGUAAGGUCCAUGAAAGCAGGGACCACACCCAUUUGUGCUCACUCGGGACCUACAGCCUCUAAUCCAGAACCUGACACAAACCUCAAUAAAUAUUUAAGAAAUGAA
This is an RNA transcript of Cercocebus atys (sooty mangabey), 5753 nucleotides long. It is a transcript of the gene named RIC3 acetylcholine receptor chaperone, with no coding region annotated. NCBI's taxonomy places the organism in Eukaryota, Metazoa, Chordata, Mammalia, Primates, Cercopithecidae. The record is from RefSeq and is a predicted model, not a curated record. The transcript has 7 exons.